RNAcentral lists this ribosomal RNA (422 nucleotides) under uncultured bacterium. RNAcentral's name for it is "bacterial SSU rRNA". It matches the Rfam family "Bacterial small subunit ribosomal RNA", at positions 355 to 775 of the family's 1533-position model. The record is from RNAcentral.
UGGGGAAUAUUGGUCAAUGGGCGAAAGCCUGAACCAGCAAUGUCGCGUGGGUGAUGAAGGCCUUCGGGUUGUAAAGCCCUGUCAGGAGGAACGAAACGUCGGGUUUAGCCCGAUGCUGACGGUACCUUCAAAGGAAGCACCGGCUAACUCUGUGCCAGCAGCCGCGGUAAUACAGAGGGUGCGAGCGUUGUUCGGAAUUACUGGGCGUAAAGCGCGUGUAGGCGGUUUGAUAAGUCGGAUGUGAAAGCCCUCGGCUCAACUGAGGAACAGCAUUCGAUACUGUUAGGCUAGAGUGUCGGAGGGGAUGGCGGAAUUCCUGGUGUAGAGGUGAAAUUCGUAGAUAUCAGGAGGAACACCUGUGGCGAAGGCGGCCAUCUGGAAGAUUACUGACGCUGAGACGCGAAAGCGUGGGGAGCAAACAG